UGGGGAAUAUUGGGCAAUGGAGGAAACUCUGACCCAGCGACGCCGCGUGCGGGAUGAAGGCCUUCGGGUUGUAAACCGCUUUCAGCAGGGAAGAAGCGAACGUGACGGUACCUGCAGAAGAAGCACCGGCUAACUAUGUGCCAGCAGCCGCGGUAAGACGAACCGUGCAAACGUUGUUCGGAAUCACUGGGCUUACAGGGCGCGUAGGCGGGUCGGCACGUCUGAGGGUGCAAGACCACGGCUCAACUG
This 249-nucleotide ribosomal RNA is filed under the name uncultured organism. RNAcentral's name for it is "partial 16S ribosomal RNA". It matches the Rfam family "Bacterial small subunit ribosomal RNA", at positions 355 to 615 of the family's 1533-position model. The record is from RNAcentral.